RNAcentral lists this transfer RNA (90 nucleotides) under Candidatus Thorarchaeota archaeon. RNAcentral describes it as "tRNA-Ser". It matches the Rfam family "tRNA". Rfam says of the family: Transfer RNA (tRNA) molecules are approximately 80 nucleotides in length. Their secondary structure includes four short double-helical elements and three loops (D, anti-codon, and T loops). Further hydrogen bonds mediate the characteristic L-shaped molecular structure. tRNAs have two regions of fundamental functional importance: the anti-codon, which is responsible for specific mRNA codon recognition, and the 3' end, to which the tRNAs corresponding amino acid is attached (by aminoacyl-tRNA synthetases). tRNAs cope with the degeneracy of the genetic code in two manners: having more than one tRNA (with a specific anti-codon) for a particular amino acid; and 'wobble' base-pairing, i.e. permitting non-standard base-pairing at the 3rd anti-codon position. Lineage: Archaea; Promethearchaeati; Candidatus Thorarchaeota. The record is from RNAcentral.
GGAAGGUUGCCAGAGUCCGGUUUAUUGGCGCAGUCUUGAAAACUGAUGGUCCGCAAGGGCACGCGGGUUCGAAUCCCCCACCUUCCGCCA